GCCUUCGUUUCCUUGGCAACGCAGUACACAAGUGCUAGCCCUAGCAGCUCGCGAUGUGCUUCAGCAGAGCAGACGCUGCGGAUAACUACCCUUUUGGAACAUGUCAACAGAGGAAACUUUUUCCUCACUUCCAUCCCCCAAAUUUGAUUGGGAACAAGUUUGUCCCUCUUAGGGGAUCACCCCACAGAGGGCCUGGGUGUUAUUUUUCAGAUGGAUAUGGCUUGGCAUACGACUUAUCUAAGAUCCCAACCAGUAUAAAAGGAUAUACUUUGGGAGCCAGAACAGCUGUGAGGUUUAAGCCAAUACAGAAGGAAAUGACACCUCAUGCAGGCAAGUACCAGAACAUAAGUCCUCAGCAGGAAAAACACAAACAAAAUUUUGCUCCAUUUAAUGUCUUGGUGCCUCGAUUUAAGAACUACCCAAAGGACACUUACUAUCCCAGGUAUGUCUCCUCUCUUUUGGUGCACUUCAACAAAAAAGCAAUAGGAGGAAAAGAAGUACGUAAUAAAAGAAGCACAUAAAGAAGGGAUGACAUCCAAACCAUCACAGUUAAAUAAGGAACCAUUCAGAGAUUUAAUCAAUUGUCUCACAGAUUUCUGGCAUUGUAGAAUGUAGAAUCAUAGUUACUCAUUCAAUGAAUUUUUAUUAAUAUGCCAGGCAGUUUUGUAGGUUCGAUAGAUUUUUGCACUAAAUCCAUCACACAAGGCUCCUGAUUUCUUGGGGCUUACAUUCUAGAGUCCAGACAGAGCACAAGCAAAUAUACAAGAAAAUAUCAAUAGUGAUAGAGUGACCAUAUAAUUUGUUAGUCAAACCAUGACACUUCUGAGAGUAAAAGGGGGCCUAUUAAUAAUUCUACCAAGACAGUACCCAUAAGGUAGGGACUGUCAUAGACAAACCAGGAAGUAGGUUGUCCAGGCUACAAAGAAGGUAAAACAGGAUGACAAUGUGAUAGGGAGUGAUGACCUGGAGUCUACUUCAGAAAGGGUUGAAGAAAUGACAGUUAACCUGAGAUCUAAAUGACAAGACUGAGCCAGCCUUGUGAAGAUCUGGGGACCGAGCAUUCCCAGCAGAAGGAACAGCAAGUGCAAAGGCUAUAAAUUGGGAAGGAAUUUGACGUGAACAAAAAGGCAUGCUGCCAUGGCUAGAGUGUAGUGAGCAAGUAGGAAAUGAGACAGAAAUGGAGGGCAUGCUGGAGCACAUAGGCCUUGCAGGCCAACAGGCUUACUCUCAAUGCUUUAGGAAGCUAUUCAGAAUGUAUAGACUUGUAGGGCAAAAGAUCAAGGACUUUCUUUUAUUGAUGAGAAAUCCAAGAAUCACAGAGUGAUGUAACUUUCUCAAGUUGCAUUAAGGAAGUAGAAGCAUUGAGUCUUGACCCCUAAGUCCAGUCCAUUAUUUCCUGACAGUAAAGAGUCCACACCAAAAGACAAAGUGUAUAUGAACAAAGACAAUUUUUAAAUGACCCCAUUGUCAAGAAAAUUUAACUGGCUUUGCUUUGCUUUGCCUACAUUGCAGAUAGAUUAUCACUGCACUUUUAUCACCAACUUUAAAUUGUGGGCAGUACUAAUUCAUCACUGCUUUAGAUCUCUUUCAUCACCCACCGCUUCUAGGACCUUCUCGUCUCUCAGCUAUAGAUACUGAGGUACAGAAAUAUCUUUUAAUCUGGAGUCGAUCUGUGCUCCAACUGGAUGUCAAGAUUGUCAAGUUAGAUGUUUAACGCUAACAUCUAACUCGAAAUACAUUAACAGGUAAAGGAAUCCCAUGCUUAAUUAAAAAGUUAAUCAAUCUGUUGCCUUUUUCCAAGAGGUUAGGCCUAGUCCAGGGACGGCUCUGGUACUGAUGGAGUUUGUGUAUGAUCACUAACUCAUUAGACAUGAUGCUUGUAUUUUUAUUUCUAGCCCUGGUGCAUACAACCCAGAGAAGAAGCCACCACCAAAAAUUGCCUGGCCAAUGAAAUUUGGAUCUCCAGACUGGGCUCAGGUUCCAUGUCUACAGAAAAGAACCCUAAAAGCUGAGCUGUCCACAGACAAAGACUUUAGAAAGCAUCGGAACCGUGUGGCCUACCUAAGCCUGUAUUAUAAUUGAGCAGCUGUGACUACCUUCACGUGCUCCUCUUAUACACAGACUCUCCAGGACUGAGGACAGAGCUGCUCUUCUUCUUCUACAUUACUGUGGCCCUCUUGUCUGGCAGCCUGGAGCCCAGGGAGGGACAGGGGCUUAUAGCUGCUGUAUGAGAACAUAAAGACUAGUGCACAGUGCUAUCUCCAUCUACUGACUUGUGGUGUACACGUGCGUGUCUGGGUCUGUGGGUUCCUGUUGGGUGCUGAGUUGGGUGAUUUCAUUUUAGUGAAAUAUUUGUGGGCCCCUGCUCUCUAGUUCUAAUUCCCAGGAGCCAAUUUUAUAUAUUCUACCACUAGCCCUGGUCAUAGGAGGCUGUUAGCCUAUACAUAUCAAGGGUUUGGAUGGGAUUUGGGCUUGCUAGAUACAGAAAACACUUAAGGCAGAUUAAAACAUGUAUUGGAGCUCUUCCAAUUGUGUUGCUCAGUGUGGAGUGGGAAGGUCUUGAUUUGGUUGACUUUCCCAGAUUGACAUAAAACUCAAAAACCAAAAAAUUGCCCCUUUCCUAUGACAUCAUCCAUUUAGUCUGUGAGUCAACAUAUAUACUGAGGUCCUACUAUGUGUUGAGCAGAGCAGUAAGCACUGGGGAUAUGGCAGGAAUCAAAAUAAAACUUAUCUACUAAGUCCUUGGGCCUGGCCUGAAGUCAGAGGAGGACUCCCCAGGGCAGCUAGGGGAUUGGGUCUGCCCUCCAAUCUGAAUGACCCCCUAGAACCUUACAAGUCAUUCUGGGGUUAUAAAGAUCAUAAUAUUUAUAGCCCCAGACUGACUUGUAAGCAGCUGCAUUUAAAGUACUUACUCAGACACUCAGGCCUGAGAGGUAGAUCCCUUUCCUUCCAGCACUAGCUGAAAUAAUCAAGUAUAUAGUUUGUUCAGGAUUGGCACUAAAUAUGAUUUAAUCUUUUAAUAAGACGGUCCUUUUGUACCCACUUAGGCUUCUUCGUAAUUACCAGAAAGGUGAUAAGCCUGCAUGUGUCUGGACACCAAAGAUUGAGAAGCUGCCAGUGGCUGCAAGAGAGCCUACUGUAACCCUCAUGGCCACCCCCUGAUGAGUGUUACCUGGGGAAAGGGCUAGCAAGAGGUGAAGCCUCCUGGUCAUAUGAUGCUGGGGGUGCCUAAUUCCUUAAAGGCCAAGGUCUUCUGAAAUAAUAAUGGUGAAGGACAGAAAAGUCUUUAUGAGAAAUCACAUAGGAUAUAUUAAGAUAAUGAUAAAGAUACCUCAGCAAGAACAUACCUAAUAUAUACACUUCUUUUAAUCUGAUGACUUAAUGAUUUCUGUUAUCUUAUCAAGAAGUAUUUAUGACUUGAGAUACGUCAGGAUUAACUGUUAUCACCUCUCCUGUACACCUCCCUCCUUUUUCUCCUUUGUACCCACAUGUGCAGAUUUUUUCAGAGGUGAUAAUUUAGCAUUUAAUGUUUUUUUUUCUGCUUCAAGGUCUUAGGUCCCUUUGGAGGAUAUUGAUGGGGGUGGAGGUGGGGAUAGAACAUCUUUCACACUGUUUGGUACAGAGACGCUCAAAGCUUUUCCCAGGGAAAGGAACUCUCUAAAAUAGUAAUCUGAUUUGAUGAAAGAUAAAAUUUUAAUAUAGCUUCAGUUAACCUUCAGGAUACUUUAAAUGCUACAUUGUAUAUAAAAGUAAUAAAGUACAAAUGAACACGAA
Molecule: small RNA, 3774 nt
Filed under: Pan troglodytes (chimpanzee)
Lineage: Eukaryota; Metazoa; Chordata; Mammalia; Primates; Hominidae
Description: processed transcript
Source: RNAcentral